GAGCGAUUAAAACAGCAUAACAUUCUGCAGUGUAUAUGCUUGCUGAUGCAGGAAUGGAAAGGCCACGUCCAGUUUUCAGAUGAGGAAUUCCCAAAGACCUCAACUCUUCGACGAGUACAUGAAGAUUAACAUUAUUAAAUGCACCAACAAUGUCAAAGAAUAUACUAAUUAAUACUUCAUUAUUUUCCAUAGCUUUAAAGAUGUCUAAAUGAAGAAAUGCAAUACUUUCUCUAGAUGACUUACGGCGUCUGAAUCCAAACUGAUUUGAUGGAAAAUGAUAGCUGCCUAGAGAAUCAUCAUCACAUACUUGCCACUCACAAGACAGAGCCAGUGAAGAUGAAACAAGUGUUAAGUCCAAUGCAUUCUGCCUCCAUCUAUGAGAUCCUACUGUAGUCAUCUGACCAUCAUUCAAGAUUACAAGAUUGUUGUCAUCUAUACUUGCAAGAACAUCCCUACCUCGUGAAUCCAAUUCAGAACAUCCCCAUAAUGUGUGGUGGGCGUUGAAAUCGCCAGCUAUAAAAACUGGCUGUGGCAAAUUUUGGAUUAAAUUAUCUAGUUUUGAUUUACUAUAAUUAAUUGAUGAUUUAGGGGGACAGUAAACACUAACUAAAGUUAAUAAUUUAUCAUUAUAUUGUAUUUGUACAGCUAUGUUUUGUAAUGAGUCAUCAGAGAAUGUAUUGAUAACAUGAAAUCUAAUUUUGUUAUGCAGAAGUAUUGCUACUCCAUUAUGAUCAUUACCUGAAUCUAAUCGUAUAAUAUUAUAACCUUUUACCCUAAAAUUUUGCCUAUUACUAAGCCAAGUUUCACAUAUGAGAGCAGCAUCUAUAUUGUUCUCAUAUAAAAAUUGUGUAAAUUGAAAGCGAUUUUUAAUUAAACUCUGUGCAUUCCAUUGUAUAAUGUUAA
This is a long non-coding RNA of Papilio machaon (common yellow swallowtail), 903 nucleotides long. RefSeq lists it as uncharacterized. NCBI's taxonomy places the organism in Eukaryota, Metazoa, Arthropoda, Insecta, Lepidoptera, Papilionidae. The record is from RefSeq and is a predicted model, not a curated record. The transcript is spliced from 3 exons.